CAAGAUUAAAGAAUUUAAAACUGUGCUUUUUCGGCUCCAAAUUACACUCGUCAUCCCUUGAAUACCCUAGUGGGGAUUUUAGGUCAAAAUCUUUAUUCUUUUGGUUACCAGACAGUAUGGAAGUGCACAAUGCCAAACAAUGGAACGAGUCACUCGGGGACUGGAUGACGUAAUUCUUGGAUUAACCCAACGUGGUGCAAUAUGGCAAAUUGCUG
Non-coding RNA from Pelobates cultripes (western spadefoot toad), 215 nucleotides. NCBI's taxonomy places the organism in Eukaryota, Metazoa, Chordata, Amphibia, Anura, Pelobatidae. The record is from the annotation of a GenBank genome assembly.